GACGAAGGGGGCUAGCGUUGUUCGGAAUUACUGGGCGUAAAGCGCGUGUAGGCGGUUGCCAUAGUCAGGUGUGAAAGCCUUGAGCUCAACUCAAGAAAUGCACUUGAUACUGGGCGACUAGAGGACCGGAGAGGAUAGUGGAAUUCCCAGUGUAGUGGUGAAAUACGUAGAGAUUGGGAAGAACACCAGUGGCGAAGGCGGCUAUCUGGACGGUUUCUGACACUAAGACACGAAAGCGUGGGGAGCAAACAGG
Molecule: ribosomal RNA, 253 nt
Filed under: uncultured bacterium
Lineage: Bacteria
Description: partial 16S ribosomal RNA
Rfam family: Bacterial small subunit ribosomal RNA
Source: RNAcentral